RNAcentral lists this microRNA (19 nucleotides) under Lotus japonicus. RNAcentral describes it as "lja-miR11076-5p". The record is from miRBase by way of RNAcentral. Lineage: Eukaryota; Viridiplantae; Streptophyta; Magnoliopsida; Fabales; Fabaceae.
GAUGGCAGUGAAGGGAACA